UAAAAAGAAUGAAUGUCCUCCCUAGCUGUGUUCUGCUCCUUUAAGGAGCAGAGUGCUGAUCUGACAAACCCC
Molecule: long non-coding RNA, 72 nt
Organism: Gopherus evgoodei (Goodes thornscrub tortoise)
Lineage: Eukaryota; Metazoa; Chordata; Testudines; Testudinidae
Exons: 4
Source: RefSeq, a predicted model, not a curated record